UCCAACUUUGGCCCAAGGUUCCGAACCCGAAGAGCGAUGGAAGCUUGCUUCUAUCAAUCUUAGUGGCGAACGGCGCCGUAGUAACGCGUAAUCAACCUGCCCUUCAGAGGGGGACAACAGUUGGAAACGACUGCUAAUACCGCAUACGAUCCAACCUCGGCAUCGAGGAUGGAUGAAAGGUGGCCUCUAUUUAUAAGCUAUCACUGAAGGAGGGGAUUGCGUCUGAUUAGCUAGUUGGAGGGGUAACGGCCCACCAAGGCGAUGAUCAGUAGCCGGUCUGAGAGGAUGAACGGCCACAUUGGGACUGAGACACGGCCCAGACUCCUACGGGAGGCAGCAGUGGGGAAUCUUCCGCAAUGGACGAAAGUCUGACGGAGCAACGCCGCGUGAGUGAUGACGGCCUUCGGGUUGUAAAGCUCUGUUAAUCGGGACGAAAGGCCUUCUUGCGAAUAGUUAGAAGGAUUGACGGUACCGGAAUAGAAAGCCACGGCUAACUACGUGCCAGCAGCCGCGGUAAUACGUGGGUGGCAAGCGUUGUCCGGAAUUAUUGGGCGUAAAGCGCGCGCAGGCGGAUCGGUCAGUCUGUCUUAAAAGUUCGGGGCUUAACCCCGUGAUGGGAUGGAAACUGCCGAUCUAGAGUAUCGGAGAGGAAAGUGGAAUUCCUAGUGUAGCGGUGAAAUGCGUAGAUAUUAGGAAGAACACCAGUGGCGAAGGCGACUUUCUGGACGAAAACUGACGCUGAGGCGCGAAAGCCAGGGGAGCGAACGGGAUUAGAUACCCCGGUAGUCCUGGCCGUAAAYGAKGGGURSWAGGUGUAGRAGGUAUUCGCACCCCCUUCUGUGCCGGAGUUAACGCAAUAAGUACCCCGCCUGGGGAGUACGACCCGCAAGGUUGAAACUCAAAGGAAUUGACGGGGGCCCGCACAAGCGGUGGAGUAUGUGGUUUAAUUCGACGCAACGCGAAGAACCUUAYCAGGUCUUUGACAUUGAUGGACAGAACCAGAGAUGGUUCCUCCUUCUUUCGGAAGCCAGAAAAACAAGGUGGUGCACGGGUUGUCGUCAGCUCUCGUGUCGUGAGAUGUUUGGGUUUAAGUUCCCCGCAACGAGCGCAACCCCUUAUUCUAUAUGGUUGCCAGCACUUAGUGGGGGAAAUUCUUGAAAAAUGGCCCCAAACAUGGCGAAGGAAGGGGGGAAUAACUUCAAUUCUUCUGGCCCUUUAUAACUGGGCUUCCCCCCGUCCUCCAUGGGAAGUUAAUAAACGGAACCAUUCCCGCAGGGGGAAGCAAACCCAAAAAACCUUCUCUCAGUUCGAAUCGAAGGUUGCACUUCGCUUACGUGAAGUCGAAUUCGUUAGUAAUCCCAGGUAACCUUAUUGCGGGAAAUCCUUUCCCGGGCCUUGACCCCCCCGCCCGCCACACCACAAAAGUCGAAAGGGCCCAAAGCCGGUGGGGUAACUUUCGGAAGCCAGCCGCCUAAGGUAAAGUCAUUGAUGGGGUUGAAGUCUUACCAGGGUACCCUUUUCGAA
RNAcentral lists this ribosomal RNA (1524 nucleotides) under Veillonella sp. RNAcentral describes it as "bacterial SSU rRNA". It matches the Rfam family "Bacterial small subunit ribosomal RNA". The record is from RNAcentral. Lineage: Bacteria; Bacillati; Bacillota; Negativicutes; Veillonellales; Veillonellaceae.